RNAcentral lists this long non-coding RNA (2658 nucleotides) under Homo sapiens (human). RNAcentral's name for it is "HSALNT0329571". Lineage: Eukaryota; Metazoa; Chordata; Mammalia; Primates; Hominidae. The record is from RNAcentral.
AACACGGGAAGACCUCACACGCUCAUAUCCAAGCCACCCCAAAGCCUCUCCUUUCACUGAUGUGACAUCUCGGAUUGGUGGUGGUGGGGAAGGGGCGGGGGUAGAGAUGGAACAAAAUUGACAAAACUGGCCAUGAGUUGCUCAUUGUUGACGCUGGGCAAUGGAUGCUUGGGAGUGACUUUCGUGUAUAUUUGAAAUUUUCUGUAAUAGAAGAUUUUAAAAUUGUAAUUGCAUAGCAAAUGUAAAUAUUAACAUAUAUGCACAUUUAUAUAUUAUAUAUUUAUAUCUAUACUUUAUGGAUUAUAUAAUAUACUAUUUAAGUAAAUAAUGUAUACGAUAGCAGUAUAAUGUAUACAUGCAUCUUACACACACGCCCCUCUCCAGUCCUCCACUACCACAAGCACCAUCGCUCCCCACCAGCAUCUCUGCAGGCACCUUGGCGCUCAUCUCCCUGCUCCGCCUUCGCCCUGCGUUGCGUUCUCCACACAGCAGCCACGGUGACUUUGUUAAAAUGUGAGUCAGACCACAUCACUCCAUUCCACUUAGAAUGAAGCCCGGUCCUGGCCUCUGAGGCCCUGCUGGGCUCCUGCUGCCCUUGCCGUGGCCUCUGCUCCAGCCCGAGGGCCACCCGUGAGUGCUGGGAAGGGCAUCCCCAGCUCGCUCUUGCUCAAGACCUUAGCACCUGCAGUUCCCUUUCCCUUGAUGACUUUGCCCCGAUCUGUGCAUGGGUGUCCCCUCCCCUUGUUUCGUCCCGAUCUCUGUUCCCAUCUUAUCUCAUGGGGAGGAUUUCUCCAACCUCCUCGCAUAACACAGCACUCUCCCUGCUGUGCAGCCCCGGACUGUUCUAUUUCCCACGGUAGCGGCUACCACCGCCCGACACACUGAGUGUUCUCUCGUUGGCUUAUUCUGUCUCCCUGCUAGAAGCAACCUUGUUUUGUUUAGUGGACCCCCAGCACCUAGAGCAGGGUCUGGCACCCAGGCAAGGCCUCAAUCCAUACUUGUUGAAUGAAUGAGUGGAGCUCCAUUUCCACGGAGCCACUGAGACGUGGCUGAAGUAACAACACUAGAAGUCAGGGACACAGCUGGGGCUUGAAGCUGGGACUAGUUUCACCCUGAGCCCCCGGCUAUAUGCUCUGCCUGUGUUCCUGAGAGGGGAGGGGAUGGGGCCCAGAGCACAGACACAUGGAGGGCCCCAUCCAAGGGCACAGGGACCGAGGGGAGGAGAGAAACGAGGCUGGCAGGCAGUGGCAUAGACUCCGCUUUGCGGAGCUGUGGGGAAGUAGCUCUGCAGGCUGUUGGCUUCUCUUGCCUUUCAGAAGCAGGUGGAAGGUCCUUCUCCCAAGAGAGGCAGAGCUGCUGAGGAGUCUGCAGGAAUGCUCCAUCUGUCCCCAUAGUGUUAAUGUCACUUCAGCCUCAGAGCUAGAUGGGCGGCCUACCCUUUCCCUUCCCACUCCCGCUGGCUCCUGUGCCCUGGCAGGCCAGGGCCUAGUGAAGACCCCCAAGAAGGCAGCACCUUCCUCUGUCUUUGGCAAUGUGGGAUCUGAUGGGUCCAAGAGUGCCCAACCCAUGGGAGGAGCGGUGCUAGUCCUGUCUGGCUGAGGGGCUGCCUUGCAGGCCCCUGCAGACCCCCACCUCCUCUCCCGAGAGGGCCGGCUCCCCAGGGAGGACUUAGGCUGGUCUGAGGGGUGCUGGUGCUGGUCCAGCCGGGGGAUGCUGCAACCAGGUCUCCUCACUGGCCUGUCUCGGUCCACAUCCUCCAUGGAGCAGACAUCACGUUCAUGUUCUUUUUGCUUUUUAAAAAUGAAAUUUAUCCUUGUCUCCCAUUGGAAAAUGAAUGCAUGCUCAUUAUAGAAAAUGUGGGAAACAGAUCAGAAGAAAGAAGAGUAAAUAAAAAUUGCCUUUUCCAAUGUGGCAUCACCACAGCUCCUCUGGCACAGGGCCCUGGGCUGGGCAGGGAGUUGUGGACUGUGUGGCCAACAGGCCAUCGGGCUGUGGGUCUACAGGGGAUGCCAUCGGUGGCUUGGGCCUUCCUCCCUUGAGGGUUUGGGGAAAUGGUGUCCAGCCCCCGCACAGUUGUCCACAGUGAUGCAGAGAGUGGAGCUGACGAGAGUUGCUAUAUUUAAUUUUGGUGCCUGCGUCACCUCUGACCACACAGCAGCGUCUGCCCAGGCAGGCAGCACAUGGCUGGGGGUGUUUCUGAACGACGCUGUGAGAGAAUCACUUUCCCCAAGAAAAGGUAUAGCAGAGGGGAAGGGAGAGACAGCAACAGAAAGUGAGGUCAAUUUCUCCACAUAUUCAGAACGUCCUAAAAGCUCCACAAAAUCUUCAUCAUGAGUGAUUACCAGAAGCUGGAAGUUACGCUGCUGUGAGCGACUUUUUAAAGGCUUACUCCUUCGCCUGGGAUUUUCCUGACCUGUUACUACUUUUCUCUGGAAGAAAAAUUUAAAAGUAAUAAAGACAAACUACAGUUACUUGGGUGAGUUGGCUCCCCAGGCUUUUGAGAUACCUGCCUUUUGUCCAGCACUGCAUCGUCCUCGCAUAUCCAAGGCUGUGUCUCCCUUCAGCAUCACCACUCGGUAGUUAUAAUUCCGCCUUUUAUCAGAAGCUGAUACAUUUUCAUCGGCAUCAGACCGUAUUUCUAUGUAUUCAAUAUCUGAC